RNAcentral lists this long non-coding RNA (685 nucleotides) under Hordeum vulgare. Its description in RNAcentral is "long non-coding RNA (HVUL_LNC020458)". Lineage: Eukaryota; Viridiplantae; Streptophyta; Magnoliopsida; Poales; Poaceae. The record is from RNAcentral.
AUUUUGUUGCUAACAACCCAAAAGACAUCAAUGCACAAUUAGUAAAAACAACUUUUAAUUAUUCCAUCGAAACUAUAAGGUACAAUUUAGCAUUUAGAAGCCUGCUAAAUGUCUCCCAGCAAUGCGCGAGAUAUCUUCUAGUUUAAUUAUCCAGUGAAAGAAACUUUCUAGGAUGCUUGACGGGCUCUUGACUUGUGCACUUCGCACAGAAGCAGAUCCGUUCCUUGAGUGCACAGUAUCCACCUGGGUACCCGGAGUCUACGCACUGCUGAACGCACGCAGGGAUGCUGUAGCAGUACGGAUCCGGUGCCUUGCUGUAGACGUCGCACUGAACGAUAUGACCAGCCGAAUCUGUUAACAUCAAAGGCAGUUUAUCAUGUUAUAUAAAAACCAUAAUCUUUUUUUCUUAGUAUGUAACGAUUGUUGAAACAGUAAUGCAUUGUUGUACUUACCGCAGGACACGAGGAGUGCCUGAAUCAAGAUGGAUACAACGGCAACGGCAAUUUUGUAAGCCAUUUUGGNGGGGCGGGCGCGGGCGCGGGCGGGGGGGAGGUCAAUUUUGUAAGCUACGAGAACGAAACUGAAGCACUGCUUUUGAUUCACGAGGACCUGUGUUUUUAUAGGGAUGGAGCAAGGGAGCUCGUGAGGCGUUUGAGAUCGAUUUCUUUUUAUUGUUUCUUGACUC